Molecule: long non-coding RNA, 580 nt
Organism: Capsella rubella
Lineage: Eukaryota; Viridiplantae; Streptophyta; Magnoliopsida; Brassicales; Brassicaceae
Exons: 3
Source: RefSeq, a predicted model, not a curated record
ACAGGUUGAUCCUCUUACUCAUCAAGUCUUAAUUAGUAAUUCUGGUCUCUUUCUACAGGAAACGUGUUCCUGAAGCAUGGGUCUGAACUAAGACUGAUCCUUGCUUUCCUUGCUCGCGUUGAACAGAGGCAUGGCACAAGAGUAUCCAAAACGUUUUAUGAGAGCUGGAAAUGAGCCCAAAGUGAGUCUGAUUAACAAUUCAUGUCGAAUGUCUAUUUUAGACAAGAUCAAGAAGGCAUUACCAGCUGAGUAUGAUAUAGUGAAGAGUCAUCCUGUCUUCGCACAUGUGUUUGCAAUACAUGAAAACGGUCUCGGGUAUUCGGCUCGAUUGAUACAUAGCAUAAUGUGUAGGCAAUUGAUAACGAAGAAAAAACAUGAGCUCUGGUUUGUGUUUGGAAAGAAGCCACUCAGAUUCUCUAUGCAAGAAUUUUAUGCAGUUACUGGGCUAAAGUGCAAGGAUGACUUCUCUGGUGAUUUAGAAACUUGGAAAAAAGACAAGGGGUUUUGGAGUAAAUUGUUGGAUGGAGAGGAGAUUAUUACCAUGGUGAAGUUGAUGAAGAUCCACCUUAAGCAGCUCCCA